Molecule: ribosomal RNA, 478 nt
Filed under: uncultured bacterium
Lineage: Bacteria
Description: partial 16S ribosomal RNA
Rfam family: Bacterial small subunit ribosomal RNA
Source: RNAcentral
GACGAACGCUGGCGGCGUGCUUAACACAUGCAAGUCGAACGGUAAGGCCCUUCGGGGUACACGAGUGGCGAACGGGUGAGUAACACGUGGGUGAUCUGCCCUGCACUUCGGGAUAAGCCUGGGAAACUGGGUCUAAUACCGGAUAGGACCACUGCCUGCAUGGGUGGUGGUGGAAAGCUUUUGCGGUGUGGGAUGGGCCCGCGGCCUAUCAGCUUGUUGGUGGGGUGAUGGCCUACCAAGGCGACGCAGGGUAGCCGGCCUGAGAGGGUGACCGGCCACACUGGGACUGAGAUACGGCCCAGACUCCUACGGGAGGCAGCAGUGGGGAAUAUUGCACAAUGGGCGCAAGCCUGAUGCAGCGACGCCGCGUGAGGGAUGACGGCCUUCGGGUUGUAAACCUCUUUCAGCACCGACGAAGCGCAAGUGACGGUAGGUGCAGAAGAAGGACCGGCCAACUACGUGCCAGCCGCCGCGGUAA